CUUCCUCAAGCAAGAGGAUUGGCAACGGAUGUUUGCUCAGGGUGAAUCUUCCUCAGCAAAACAAAACAAAACGAAAACCAGCAGUUCCUUCGUGCUGGGCGCUUUCCAUAUGUUCUCCUAUGUAAUCCUCACACCAAGCCUGAAAGGCAGAGUUUAUUAUCCAUCUCAGGCUGUAUCUCCCAAGGAUGACAGAGUUUGGGGGUGGAAAAAUCAUGAUCUGUAAUUGGAGGCCGUGGCUCCAGCCCUUCCUAAGACUGCAAUUCACCCAGCUUCUCCUAGCCUCAGUUCCCUCACCGGUAAAACUGGAUGAAUGCCAGCCCUGCUCCCCCGGGUCAUCGCUGGAAUCAAGCCUCCACGGAGAACUUCCUGGGGGACCCUGGGUUCCUCCUGCAACCAGAAAGCCCACGGCCAAAGGCAAACCUCCCUGACUACCACACCUUCCCUGGAAUGCCCCCUUUAGAGUUUCCUUCCAGAACCUUCUGUCAAAGUGCAAAUAUCCUG
Molecule: long non-coding RNA, 501 nt
Filed under: Equus caballus (horse)
Lineage: Eukaryota; Metazoa; Chordata; Mammalia; Perissodactyla; Equidae
Description: lncRNA (ENSECAG00000059678.1)
Source: RNAcentral